RNAcentral lists this ribosomal RNA (451 nucleotides) under uncultured bacterium. RNAcentral's name for it is "bacterial SSU rRNA". It matches the Rfam family "Bacterial small subunit ribosomal RNA", at positions 355 to 826 of the family's 1533-position model. The record is from RNAcentral.
UCAAGAAACUUCCACAAUGGGCGAAAGCCUGAUGGAGCGACGUCGCGUGAUGGACGAAGUGCUUCGGCACGUAAACAUCUUUUAUGUGGGAUGAAAUUAUUGACAGUACCACAUGAAUAAGGGGCUCCUAACUCUGUGCCAGCAGGAGCGGUAAUACAGAGGCCCCAAGCGUUAUCCGGAAUCACUGGGCGUAAAGGGUGUCGAGGCGGUUGUAUUAGUCGUUCGUAAAAUCUACGAGCUUAACUUGUAGGCGGCGAACGAAACGGUACGACUUGAGGUUUGGAGAGGUGCGUGGAACUCACGGUGUAGGGGUGAAAUCCGUUGAUAUCGUGGGGAACACCAAAGGCGAAGGCAGCGCACUGGCCAAAAUCUGACGCUCACACACGAAAGCUAGGGUAGCGAAGAGGAUUAGAUACCCCCGUAGUCCCUGAGCGGGCUGGCAAGGCGCAUA